RNAcentral lists this long non-coding RNA (455 nucleotides) under Equus asinus (donkey). Its description in RNAcentral is "lncRNA (ENSEASG00005026004.1)". The record is from RNAcentral. Lineage: Eukaryota; Metazoa; Chordata; Mammalia; Perissodactyla; Equidae.
UUACACCUUGAAAGUGGUAAUUUUAGAUACUGAAUUUUAAGAAAUUUGAAGUUGUUUUUGCGUUUCUAUCCUGUGAAAUUGACGUUGGACUUUGCUAUUUGUUUUUCAGAGGAACGUAAGAAAAAGUUCGAGGAACUUAAGAAAAAGUUCGUGCAGACUGAACAUGAAAAAGAGGAGCGUAAGAAAAAGUUCAGUAAGUUUCUGACCCUCUACUUCGAUAGGUCUUUAGAAUGACUGGUUUCUUGGCCUCUUGGAGAUUCGCUGAGGUUUUAUCUCUAAACCAUCCAUUUGCACUGACUUCUACUCGGUGUUGACUGUUACCAGCCAAACUGGAUGGUGUUGGGCUUCUUUCAUUUAAGGUCUGUCAGUUUCGUUCCUCUUCCCUCCAUCCAAUUCCAUUCCUGUUAUAUGCAUUUCAUCCCAUAUCGUCCCUGGAAACAGUGGCUUCUUCUGUC